GAGGCAAUAACAGGUCUGUGAUGCCCUUAGACGUUCUGGGCCGCACGCGCGCUACACUGACGGAGCCAGCGAGUUUAUACCUUGGCCGAGAGGUCCGGGAAAUCUUGUGAAACUCCGUCGUGCUGGGGAUAGAGCAUUGUAAUUAUUGCUCUUCAACGAGGAAUUCCUAGUAAGCGCAAGUCAUCAGCUUGCGUUGAUUACGUCCCUGCCCUUUGUACACACCGCCCGUCGCUACUACCGAUUGAAUGGCUUAGUGAGGCUUCCGGAUUGGUUUAAAGAAGGGGGCAACUCCAUCUUGGAACUGAAAAGCUAGUCAAACUUGGUCAUUUAGAGGAAGUAAAAGUCGUAACAAGGUUUCCGUAGGUGAACCUGCGGAAGGAUCAUUA
RNAcentral lists this ribosomal RNA (386 nucleotides) under Suzukiozyma palmioleophila. RNAcentral's name for it is "SSU rRNA". It matches the Rfam family "Eukaryotic small subunit ribosomal RNA", at positions 1447 to 1831 of the family's 1831-position model. Lineage: Eukaryota; Fungi; Ascomycota; Pichiomycetes; Serinales; Debaryomycetaceae. The record is from RNAcentral.